GGAUACUGGAGUGAUGGAGGUAGAUAUGUAUAGGGGACAGGGAUACUGUAGUGAUGGAGGUCGAUAUAUGUAUAGGGGGAAGGAGACAGGGAUACUGGAGUGAUGGAGGUAGAUAUGUAUAGGGGGAAGGGGACAGGGAUACUGGAGUGAUGGAGGUAGAUAUGUAUAGGGGACAGGGAUACUGGAGUGAUGGAGGUAGAUAUGUAUAGGGGGAAGGGGACAGGGAUACUGGAGUGAUGGAGGUAGAUAUGUAUAGGGGACAGGGAUACUGGAGUGAUGGAGGUAGAUAUGUAUAGGGGGAAGGAGACAGGGAUACUGGAGUGAUGGAGGUAGAUAUGUAUAGGGGGAAGGGGAC
RNAcentral lists this long non-coding RNA (355 nucleotides) under Salmo salar (Atlantic salmon). RNAcentral describes it as "lncRNA (ENSSSAG00000121573.1)". Lineage: Eukaryota; Metazoa; Chordata; Actinopteri; Salmoniformes; Salmonidae. The record is from RNAcentral.